AUACGGAGGAUCCGAGCGUUAUCCGGAUUUAUUGGGUUUAAAGGGUGCGCAGGCGGCCAUUUAAGUCAGCGGUUAAAUCGUGGGGCUCAACCCCAUUCUGCCGUUGAUACUGGGUGGCUUGAUUGCGGUCGAGGUUGGCGGAAUUCGUUGUGUAGCGGUGAAAUGCAUAGAUAUGACGAAGAACACCGAUUGCGUAGGCAGCUGACCAGACCGCAAAUGACGCUCAUGCACGAAAGUGCGGGGAUCGAACAGGAUUAGAUACCCUGGUUGUCCGCACAGUAAACGAUGAAUACUUGUUUUCGGCGAUAUAAUGUCGGAGGCAAAGCGAAAGCGAUAAGUAUUCCACCUGGGGAGUACGCCGGCAACGGUGAAACUCAAAUGAAUUGACGGGG
Molecule: ribosomal RNA, 392 nt
Filed under: uncultured bacterium
Lineage: Bacteria
Description: partial 16S ribosomal RNA
Rfam family: Bacterial small subunit ribosomal RNA
Source: RNAcentral